CUGAGUUGCAAGUGAUCUCAAAGAAGAUCCAUUCCAAGCCAUACUUAAACAGGAACCGUCUUUAUAACAUCCCUGGCAGAAGCUGUCAUUGGAUACUCAAAAAGGAGAUAGAAGUACAAAGUGAAUCAAUAGUACUAAAGACAUACGCUGUUACCAUCACUUCUUGAUCACUUGCGUACAAAAAUAGUGAGGAGGAGCUCCAGAGACCCUUCUGAUGCUUGAUGGAUCACA
This is a non-coding RNA of Phascolarctos cinereus (koala), 231 nucleotides long. NCBI's taxonomy places the organism in Eukaryota, Metazoa, Chordata, Mammalia, Diprotodontia, Phascolarctidae. The record is from RefSeq and is a predicted model, not a curated record.